UUUAAAUUGAGAGUUUGAUCCUGGCUCAGGAUGAACGCUGGUGGCGUGCCUAAUACAUGCAAGUCGUACGCUAGCCGCUGAAUUGAUCCUUCGGGUGAAGUGAGGCAAUGACUAGAGUGGCGAACUGGUGAGUAACACGUAAGAAACCUGCCCUUUAGUGGGGGAUAACAUUUGGAAACAGAUGCUAAUACCGCGUAACAACAAAUCACACAUGUGAUCUGUUUGAAAGGUCCUUUUGGAUCGCUAGAGGAUGGUCUUGCGGCGUAUUAGCUUGUUGGUAGGGUAGAAGCCUACCAAGGCAAUGAUGCGUAGCCGAGUUGAGAGACUGGCCGGCCACAUUGGGACUGAGACACUGCCCAAACUCCUACGGGAGGCUGCAGUAGGGAAUUUUCCGCAAUGCACGAAAGUGUGACGGAGCGACGCCGCGUGUGUGAUGAAGGCUUUCGGGUCGUAAAGCACUGUUGUAAGGGAAGAAUAACUGAAUUCAGAGAAAGUUUUCAGCUUGACGGUACCUUACCAGAAAGGGAUGGCUAAAUACGUGCCAGCAGCCGCGGUAAUACGUAUGUCCCGAGCGUUAUCCGGAUUUAUUGGGCGUAAAGCGAGCGCAGACGGUUUAUUAAGUCUGAUGUGAAAUCCCGAGGCCCAACCUCGGAACUGCAUUGGAAACUGAUUUACUUGAGUGCGAUAGAGGCAAGUGGAACUCCAUGUGUAGCGG
Molecule: ribosomal RNA, 715 nt
Filed under: Oenococcus oeni
Lineage: Bacteria; Bacillati; Bacillota; Bacilli; Lactobacillales; Lactobacillaceae
Description: bacterial SSU rRNA
Rfam family: Bacterial small subunit ribosomal RNA
Source: RNAcentral